This 557-nucleotide long non-coding RNA is filed under the name Amphibalanus amphitrite. Its description in RNAcentral is "uncharacterized LOC122379956". Lineage: Eukaryota; Metazoa; Arthropoda; Thecostraca; Balanomorpha; Balanidae. The record is from RNAcentral.
AGAAUCGACCGCUCCUGCAACAAUAGACACAAACAAUUUAUUUCAGCUUUCACAAAAAUGCACUUUGAAUAGUCUUCUUUAGACUGAGGUUACGCUAAAAAUAAAACUGAAACUUCCCCUGCAGAACUGGUUGGACAUUGGUUAUUCAACAUGUAAUAGCAAACGGAUAGACUUUUACCGAUGCUGCUUGUGAGCUAUCCAUAGCCAAAUUACCAGUUGGCCUCGAAAUGAUCUGCAUAACAAAGUUCUCUUGACGCUGGGAAGCAUCUUUGCUUCGCCAUUGUUUGCUUUGACAGAUGCUCCCGACUGUUGGCGUCGGCUCCCUGAGUGGCCCUGGAAUCUGAGCAGUCGGCCACACUAUGCAUCACACCCGGUGGCAGUUGGAUAACAAAACAGCACAGAGGUGCAGAGGAAACGCCGCGCCGGUGGGAGGCUCGGCACUCGGGACGAUCUUUUCCCCAACGCUGUGUGCCGACAAACAACGCCAGCUCGGUCAUGGAACUCCCAAGAUUCAAGCAAUCCACAAGGUGAUACUAAAAUAAAAUUUGCUCGCGGGC